GACGAACGCUGGCGGCGUGCCUAAUACAUGCAAGCCGAACGCUUCUUUCCUCCCGAGUGCUUGCACUCGAUUGGAAAGAGGAGUGGCGGACGGGUGAGUAACACGUGGGUAACCUACCCAUCAGAGGGGGAUAACACUUGGAAACAGGUGCUAAUACCGCAUAACAGUUUAUGCCGCAUGGCAUAAGAGUGAAAGGCGCUUUCGGGUGUCGCUGAUGGAUGGACCCGCGGUGCAUUAGCGAGUUGGUGAGGUAACGGCUCACCAAGGCCACGAUGCAUAGCCGACCUGAGAGGGUGAUCGGCCACACAGGGACUGAGACACGGCCCAGACUCCUACGGGAGGCAGCAGUAGGGAAUCUUCGGCAAUGGACGAAGUCUGACCGAGCAACGCCGCGUGAGUGAAGAAGGUUUUCGGAUCGUAAAACUCUGUUGUUAGAGAAGAACAAGGACGUUAGUAACUGAACGUCCCCUGACGGUAUCUAACCAGAAAGCCACGGCUAACUACGUGCCAGCCGCCGCGGUAA
This 523-nucleotide ribosomal RNA is filed under the name uncultured bacterium. RNAcentral's name for it is "partial 16S ribosomal RNA". It matches the Rfam family "Bacterial small subunit ribosomal RNA", at positions 28 to 523 of the family's 1533-position model. The record is from RNAcentral.